Long non-coding RNA from Oreochromis niloticus (Nile tilapia), 1311 nucleotides. RefSeq lists it as uncharacterized. The record is from RefSeq and is a predicted model, not a curated record. The transcript is spliced from 3 exons. NCBI's taxonomy places the organism in Eukaryota, Metazoa, Chordata, Actinopteri, Cichliformes, Cichlidae.
CCAGGGCGCCAAACAGGCUAGGACCGCCACUGGUAGAACCCAUGGGGGAGUUCCAGAAUGAAUACAGGUGGAGAGGGGGCAGACAGAGUGGGGAGAAGCAGGCAGAGGCUGUUGAUACUAAAGAGGCACUGGCAGGUUGAUGACUUCCAGAGAUGGACCACAGAGAGAAGGUGUGAGAGGAGAGGAAUCCACCAGGAAACCCCGCCUCCAGGUGGAGACCACAAACUGAGCCUGCCCAGCAACUCCACCUGAGGAAAGACCUAAAUAAGUAGAGCAUAGACACAGCUAUCCAAGAAACCAGACCCCCCAAAACCAUGACAGCAAGACCUCACUAGCCCUCGCUAAAGCAUUUGUUUCCAAGCAAUGACAGGCGGGGUACGCGAGCUGCUGUGGAGUUGAUGCGAACCAAGCAAGGGAGAAAAAUUUCAAGGCUUCCAAAGAUUCCCCACUGAGCAGAAAAGCAAUCAUUAGGAAUUAGAAAAGGGAGGAGGAAGAGGUAAAGUAGUUCAGGGGAAAGGGGAAUAAAUUUAAUGGCAAGUCAAUAGGUAUUGAUUUUUAUGUAAAUUUCAACACAGCAGAAUAGCACCUCAUCGGUCAGGAUCCAAAAUAAGGCUAAAAGGAGAUGAGGGGAUAUUAUCCACUAUUUGCUGUGUCUAGCGUCUUUCACCUCUUCUUGCGUGUCUCUUUGCCCUGCUACCUCUCCGGUCACUGACAGUUCUCAUUCACCAGCGCUCGUCCUUUCUCUGUCUCAUUCUCUUUUUCUCUCAUUCUCUCCCUCCCCUCUCAAUCCCCUUUGUAUUACUGCCAAGCAGUCAAAUGGAUGUUGGCAUAUUUUAAAGCCCUGUUGUCCAACUCUCUCUCAUGCUCAGGCCAAGUCCGUGGCUCAGCAGAGUGCAACUUGGCAGCUGACGAGACGAGCACACUAAAGCAAUUAGCGCAGCCACCAACAGUCGCUUGGAGAACUGAACGUUCGUUCUGUUCACGAGUCAAAUAGAGUGUAUUAUUUAUAUCCAAAGGUCAGUACCCUCCCUGUCAGAGGAUUUCAGAUCUGUUUUUGUGGGACGUUUACACUGCGGGCAUGAAAAAAAAGAAAAAGGGAGAAGGAGUCUAAGCAAAAUGAUGUUAAAAGGGCAGAGCUGUGACAAUGCCACCUCCCCUGCACAUGCAGGCAAGCAAAGCAGAGGGCGAAGCUGGGCGGUGCUUAGAGAGAUCGGGAUUUUCGAAACCUUCUUGCUCUCGCUCUCUCACACACGUUCGUGCGGAGACAUAAAGCACACUGGAAGGUAUACCCGAGCAGAGAGGUCAGUGAAA